Molecule: unclassified non-coding RNA, 1201 nt
Filed under: Hevea brasiliensis (rubber tree)
Lineage: Eukaryota; Viridiplantae; Streptophyta; Magnoliopsida; Malpighiales; Euphorbiaceae
Source: RNAcentral
AUUCUGCACAAGAGUCCCUUGAAUUGUUUCCCACUCUUGCAAAAAAGGGUAAAGAUAGAAGCUUGAGAGGCACAGUUGUGUAUUAUGAUGGGCAGAUGAAUGACUCAAGGCUUAAUGUUGCUUUGGCAUGUACUGCUGCAUUAGCUGGUGCAGCAGUGGUCAACCAUGCAGAAGUGGUAUCUUUCCUAAAAGAUGAGGCUAAUGAGCGGAUAAUUGGCACACGGAUUCGGGACAAUUUAUCAGGCAAAGAGUUUGAUGCCUAUGCAAAAGUUGUCGUGAAUGCGGCUGGGCCAUUUUGUGACUCUGUAAGGAAAAUGGCUAAGAAUGAUGCACAUAUGUCCUAGCAGUGGUGUACAUAUUGUUCUCCCUGAUUAUUAUUCUCCAGAGGGAAUGGGCUUGAUUGUUCCUAAAACAAAGGAUGGGCGCGUUGUUUUCAUGCUGCCAUGGUUGGGAAGAACAGUCGCUGGAACUACAGAUUCUAACACUGACAUCACUUUACUUCCAGAACCACACGAAGAUGAGAUUCAGUUUAUACUUGACGCUAUAUCAGAUUACCUUAGUGUUAAGGUACGCCGCAUUGAUGUUCUUUCAGCCUGGAGUGGUAUUCGCCCAUUAGCUAUUGAUCCAUCAGCNAUCAACAAAAAAUACUGAGAGCAUCUCCAGAGAUCAUGUUGUAUGUGAAGAUUAUCCUGGUUUGGUCACAAUCACUGGCGGAAAAUGGACUACUUACAGAAGCAUGGCAGAAGAUGCUGUUGAUGCAGCAAUAAAGUCUGGAAAACUAAGUCCAACAAAUGGAUGUUUAACUCAAAACCUCAGGCUGAUUGGUGGGGAUGGAUGGGAGCCUUCAUCAUUCACUGUUCUUGCUCAACAAUAUGUACGCAUGAAGAGGACAUCUGGCGGUAAAGUUGUCCCUGGAGUAAUGGACACAACUUCUGCUAAGCAUUUAUCACAUGCAUACGGUACAUGGGCAGAACGAGUGCCUGCCAUAGCUCAGAAUGAAGGUCUAGGGAAGCGGCUUGCGCAUGGCUACCCUUUUCUAGAAGCAGAGGUUGCCUACUGUGCCCGAAAUGAAUACUGUGAAUCUGCUGUUGAUUUCAUUGCAAGGAGAUCACGGCUUGCUUUCCUGGAUACUGAUGCAGCGGGCCGGGCAUUGCCACGUGUCAUUGAGAUAUUGGCUAAUGAACACAACUGGGAUAAGGCA